GGUUAAGCGACUAAGCGUACACGGUGGAUGCCCUGGCAGUCAGAGGCGAUGAAGGACGUGCUAAUCUGCGAUAAGCGUCGGUAAGGUGAUAUGAACCGUUAUAACCGGCGAUUUCCGAAUGGGGAAACCCAGUGUGUUUCGACACACUAUCAUUAACUGAAUCCAUAGGUUAAUGAGGCGAACCGGGGGAACUGAAACAUCUAAGUACCCCGAGGAAAAGAAAUCAACCGAGAUUCCCCCAGUAGCGGCGAGCGAACGGGGAGGAGCCCAGAGCCUGAAUCAGUGUGUGUGUUAGUGGAAGCGUCUGGAAAGGCGCGCGAUACAGGGUGACAGCCCCGUACACAAAAAUGCACAUAUUGUGAGCUCGAUGAGUAGGGCGGGACACGUGGUAUCCUGUCUGAAUAUGGGGGGACCAUCCUCCAAGGCUAAAUACUCCUGACUGACCGAUAGUGAACCAGUACCGUGAGGGAAAGGCGAAAAGAACCCCGGCGAGGGGAGUGAAAAAGAACCUGAAACCGUGUACGUACAAGCAGUGGGAGCCUCUUUUAUGGGGUGACUGCGUACCUUUUGUAUAAUGGGUCAGCGACUUAUAUUCUGUAGCAAGGUUAACCGAAUAGGGGAGCCGAAGGGAAACCGAGUCUUAACUGGGCGUUAAGUUGCAGGGUAUAGACCCGAAACCCGGUGAUCUAGCCAUGGGCAGGUUGAAGGUUGGGUAACACUAACUGGAGGACCGAACCGACUAAUGUUGAAAAAUUAGCGGAUGACUUGUGGCUGGGGGUGAAAGGCCAAUCAAACCGGGAGAUAGCUGGUUCUCCCCGAAAGCUAUUUAGGUAGCGCCUCGUGAAUUCAUCUCCGGGGGUAGAGCACUGUUUCGGCAAGGGGUCAUCCCGACUUACCAACCCGAUGCAAACUGCGAAUACCGGAGAAUGUUAUCACGGGAGACACACGGCGGGUGCUAACGUCCGUCGUGAAGAGGGAAACAACCCAGACCGCCAGCUAAGGUCCCAAAGUCAUGGUUAAGUGGGAAACGAUGUGGGAAGGCCCAGACAGCCAGGAUGUUGGCUUAGAAGCAGCCAUCAUUUAAAGAAAGCGUAAUAGCUCACUGGUCGAGUCGGCCUGCGCGGAAGAUGUAACGGGGCUAAACCAUGCACCGAAGCUGCGGCAGCGACGCUUAUGCGUUGUUGGGUAGGGGAGCGUUCUGUAAGCCUGUGAAGGUGUGCUGUGAGGCAUGCUGGAGGUAUCAGAAGUGCGAAUGCUGACAUAAGUAACGAUAAAGCGGGUGAAAAGCCCGCUCGCCGGAAGACCAAGGGUUCCUGUCCAACGUUAAUCGGGGCAGGGUGAGUCGACCCCUAAGGCGAGGCCGAAAGGCGUAGUCGAUGGGAAACAGGUUAAUAUUCCUGUACUUGGUGUUACUGCGAAGGGGGGACGGAGAAGGCUAUGUUGGCCGGGCGACGGUUGUCCCGGUUUAAGCGUGUAGGCUGGUUUUCCAGGCAAAUCCGGAAAAUCAAGGCUGAGGCGUGAUGACGAGGCACUACGGUGCUGAAGCAACAAAUGCCCUGCUUCCAGGAAAAGCCUCUAAGCAUCAGGUAACAUCAAAUCGUACCCCAAACCGACACAGGUGGUCAGGUAGAGAAUACCAAGGCGCUUGAGAGAACUCGGGUGAAGGAACUAGGCAAAAUGGUGCCGUAACUUCGGGAGAAGGCACGCUGAUAUGUAGGUGAAGUCCCUCGCGGAUGGAGCUGAAAUCAGUCGAAGAUACCAGCUGGCUGCAACUGUUUAUUAAAAACACAGCACUGUGCAAACACGAAAGUGGACGUAUACGGUGUGACGCCUGCCCGGUGCCGGAAGGUUAAUUGAUGGGGUUAGCGGUAACGCGAAGCUCUUGAUCGAAGCCCCGGUAAACGGCGGCCGUAACUAUAACGGUCCUAAGGUAGCGAAAUUCCUUGUCGGGUAAGUUCCGACCUGCACGAAUGGCGUAAUGAUGGCCAGGCUGUCUCCACCCGAGACUCAGUGAAAUUGAACUCGCUGUGAAGAUGCAGUGUACCCGCGGCAAGACGGAAAGACCCCGUGAACCUUUACUAUAGCUUGACACUGAACAUUGAGCCUUGAUGUGUAGGAUAGGUGGGAGGCUUUGAAGUGUGGACGCCAGUCUGCAUGGAGCCGGCCUUGAAAUACCACCCUUUAAUGUUUGAUGUUCUAACGUUGGCCCCUGAUCGGGGUUGCGGACAGUGUCUGGUGGGUAGUUUGACUGGGGCGGUCUCCUCCUAAAGAGUAACGGAGGAGCACGAAGGUUGGCUAAUCCUGGUCGGACAUCAGGAGGUUAGUGCAAUGGCAUAAGCCAGCUUGACUGCGAGCGUGACGGCGCGAGCAGGUGCGAAAGCAGGUCAUAGUGAUCCGGUGGUUCUGAAUGGAAGGGCCAUCGCUCAACGGAUAAAAGGUACUCCGGGGAUAACAGGCUGAUACCGCCCAAGAGUUCAUAUCGACGGCGGUGUUUGGCACCUCGAUGUCGGCUCAUCACAUCCUGGGGCUGAAGUAGGUCCCAAGGGUAUGGCUGUUCGCCAUUUAAAGUGGUACGCGAGCUGGGUUUAGAACGUCGUGAGACAGUUCGGUCCCUAUCUGCCGUGGGCGCUGGAGAACUGAGGGGGCUGCUCCUAGUACGAGAGGACCGGAGUGGACGCAUCACUGGUGUUCGGGUUGUCAUGCCAAUGGCACUGCCCGGUAGCUAAAUGCGGAAGAGAUAAGUGCUGAAAGCAUCUAAGCACGAAACUUGCCCCGAGAUGAGUUCUCCCUGACUCCUUGAGAGUCCUGAAGGAACGUUGAAGACGACGACGUUGAUAGGCCGGGUGUGUAAGCGCAGCGAUGCGUUGAGCUAACCGGUACUAAUGAACCGUGAGGCUUAACCUU
Molecule: ribosomal RNA, 2904 nt
Filed under: Escherichia coli
Lineage: Bacteria; Pseudomonadati; Pseudomonadota; Gammaproteobacteria; Enterobacterales; Enterobacteriaceae
Description: 23S ribosomal RNA
Rfam family: Bacterial large subunit ribosomal RNA
Source: RNAcentral